RNAcentral lists this ribosomal RNA (265 nucleotides) under uncultured archaeon. RNAcentral's name for it is "partial 16S ribosomal RNA". It matches the Rfam family "Archaeal small subunit ribosomal RNA", at positions 719 to 982 of the family's 1478-position model. The record is from RNAcentral.
ACACGACUACAUUAGAUACCCGUGUAGUCCAGGGUGUAAACGCUGCGGGCUUGGUGUUGGGGGUCCUUAGUGGGCGCCCAGUGCCGGAGAGAAGUUGUUAAGCCUGCUGCUUGGGGAGUAUGUCCGCAAGGAUGAAACUUAAAGGAAUUGGCGGGGGAGCACCACAACGGGUGGAGCUUGCGGUUUAAUUGGAUUCAACGCCGGAAAUCUUACCGGGACCGACAGCAACAUGAAGGCCAGGCUGAAGACUUUGCCGGAUUAGCUG